Molecule: ribosomal RNA, 253 nt
Filed under: uncultured bacterium
Lineage: Bacteria
Description: partial 16S ribosomal RNA
Rfam family: Bacterial small subunit ribosomal RNA
Source: RNAcentral
GACAGAGGGUGCAAACGUUGUUCGGAAUUACUGGGCGUAAAGCGUGUGUAGGCGGUGAGGUAAGUCGGAUGUGAAAGCCCAGGGCUCAACCCUGGAAGUGCACUCGAUACUGCUUCGCUUGAGUACUGGAGAGGUCGGUGGAAUUCUCGGUGUAGAGGUGAAAUUCGUAGAUAUCGAGAGGAACAUCUGUGGCGAAGGCGGCCUGCUGGGCAGUAGCUGACGCUGAGGCGCGACAGCGUGGGGAGCAAACAGG